AUCAUUAAAGCGUUGAGCCUGCGCCCCCGGCGUAGGUGAAACCCCACCCGUGACUACUACACCACAUGUUGCUUUGGCGGGCCCGCCUCUGGCUGCCGGAGUUUCUCUGGAUAGCGCCCGCCAAAGAUACACUGAACUUCUGUGAAACUGGAUGUCUGAGUUGAAUAUCAAUCAUUAAAACUUUCAACAAUGGAUCUCUUGGUUCCGGCAUCGAUGAAGAACGCAGCGAAAUGCGAUAAGUAAUGUGAAUUGCAGAAUUCCGUGAAUCAUCGAAUCUUUGAACGCACAUUGCGCCCUCUGGUAUUCCGGAGGGCAUGCCUGUCCGAGCGUCAUUGCAACCUUCAAGCGCGGCUUGUGUGUUGGGCCUCGUCCCCCGUGGACGGGCCUCAAAGGCAGUGGCGGCGUCCGUUUUGGUGCCCGAGCGUAUGGGAAUUCUAUACCGCUUCAAGGCCCGGCGGCGCUGGUCAAGACCAAUUUUUAUCGGUUGACCUC
This 492-nucleotide ribosomal RNA is filed under the name Malbranchea umbrina. RNAcentral describes it as "eukaryotic LSU rRNA". The stretch from base 179 to 332 matches the Rfam family "5.8S ribosomal RNA". Lineage: Eukaryota; Fungi; Ascomycota; Eurotiomycetes; Onygenales; Malbrancheaceae. The record is from RNAcentral.